UGGAAACCUGAAAUGAAGAUUUUCUCUUCUCAAGACA
This 37-nucleotide transfer RNA is filed under the name Mus macedonicus macedonicus. Its description in RNAcentral is "partial tRNA-Thr". The record is from RNAcentral. Lineage: Eukaryota; Metazoa; Chordata; Mammalia; Rodentia; Muridae.